This 77-nucleotide transfer RNA is filed under the name Alistipes sp. RNAcentral describes it as "tRNA-Ala". It matches the Rfam family "tRNA". From Rfam's summary of the family: Transfer RNA (tRNA) molecules are approximately 80 nucleotides in length. Their secondary structure includes four short double-helical elements and three loops (D, anti-codon, and T loops). Lineage: Bacteria; Pseudomonadati; Bacteroidota; Bacteroidia; Bacteroidales; Rikenellaceae. The record is from RNAcentral.
GGGGGAUUAGCUCAGCUGGUUAGAGCGCUUGCAUGGCAUGCAAGAGGUCAUCGGUUCGAAUCCGAUAUUCUCCACCA